RNAcentral lists this long non-coding RNA (551 nucleotides) under Gadus morhua (Atlantic cod). Its description in RNAcentral is "lncRNA (ENSGMOG00000034852.1)". The record is from RNAcentral. Lineage: Eukaryota; Metazoa; Chordata; Actinopteri; Gadiformes; Gadidae.
GUCGGACCCCGAGUGCAGGAAGGGGGGGCCUGGACUUUCAUAAUCUUCGCUCAGUGAAUGUAAAGGAUGUUUGGUCGGAUGUUAUGACGAAGAAUCAUAAUGUGAAUGGGAAUAUUCUAUAAAUGUCUUGAUAUCAUCUUUCGUCUCAACACUUCUGCUGCAGCCGCUUAAAGUCUCACUCCGAGAACCUUAAAAUAUGAAUCAAUCCAUUCAUCAGUCGUGGGUGCCCGAAGAGCCGAUGGAUGAGGAGGAAUUGUUUGAUGAGGAGCCACCUUACACGUGUGACCCCCACCACAAUUGCAUUGACAAAUUCAUUGUUUGCCAAGAGGAGCUGAUGGGCCUUUUUGCCAUCUGUCCGGCCUGUUGUGAGAGGUCGGAUAGUAGCAUCGUGCAGCAGGAAGGAACUUUUGUUAAGAUCAAGCAGGUCUGUGCAUCAUGUGGCUACCACCGUUUCUGGCAAAACCAGCCAAUGCUCCACAGGAACAUGCCAACCUGCAACCUCCUGUUAAGUGGGGCCAUUCAUUUUACUGGAUGUUUGGCCACACAGACAC